AUCUCUUUGCCUUUUGGCUUAGAUCAAGUGUAGUAUCUGUUCUUUUCAGUGUAACAACUGAAAUGACCUCAAAGAGGCUCAUUACCUUUAUUUUUGUUACAACGUUUAUUUUUUGGCAAUGAAAUUAUCUCUCCAUGUCCAGUCACUGGAGAUGGAGAAGGUGGGUG
RNAcentral lists this small nuclear RNA (167 nucleotides) under Torulaspora delbrueckii CBS 1146. Its description in RNAcentral is "U2 spliceosomal RNA". It matches the Rfam family "U2 spliceosomal RNA". Rfam says of the family: U2 is a small nuclear RNA (snRNA) component of the spliceosome (involved in pre-mRNA splicing). The record is from Rfam by way of RNAcentral. Lineage: Eukaryota; Fungi; Ascomycota; Saccharomycetes; Saccharomycetales; Saccharomycetaceae.